CAGCCGCCGCGGGAAUACGAAGGGGGCUAGCGUUGUUCGGAUUUACUGGGCGUAAAGGGCGCGUAGGCGGGCGAUUUAGUCAGGGGUGAAAUCCCAGGGCUCAACCUUGGAACUGCCUUUGAUACUGAUCGUCUUGAGUUCGAGAGAGGUAAGUGGAACUGCGAGUGUAGAGGUGAAAUUCGUAGAUAUUCGCAAGAACACCAGUGGCGAAGGCGGCUUACUGGCUCGAUACUGACGCUGAGGCGCGAAAGCGUGGGGAGCAAACAGGAUUAGAUACCCCAGUAGUCCCUGUCUCUUAUAC
Molecule: ribosomal RNA, 301 nt
Filed under: uncultured bacterium
Lineage: Bacteria
Description: partial 16S ribosomal RNA
Rfam family: Bacterial small subunit ribosomal RNA
Source: RNAcentral